UGUCGCUCACAUAAAGUAGUGCACUUAAAAAAGCCAUAAUAUAUAUAUGUAUAAUCACAGAAUAUAACAAUUUUUUAUGUUAAUAUAUAAUUGCUUUAAAUAUUUCCAUCAUUAAUUAAACUGAAUCAUAACCAUUACGCGUUUUUAUGUCCAUCUUAUUUAGUUCAACAGUUCGUUUCGAGAUGUCGGAUGUAUCAGAUUCUUUGCUUGAGAGGAAGUUUUGCAAAAAUGUUAGCAGAAAAAUUUUGAAUAGUGAAGUGCGACAAAUAAUCGUUAAUGCUUAUGAAAAACUACAAGAAAAUAAUCCAACUAUUAAUUUAAAGGUUAUUGAACUCACUUUGCAUUUCACUUCACAAUAUUGAAUACAGUCUUCAUAUGCUUGUGCACGUGUAGAUGGACUUUCCCACCCACAUAUUUUUCCCCAGUCAGCACUCAUUUAGAGAGCAUGAAUACAAAUUUCAGAGAAACGGUUUGUUUACAUCAGAGUUUUUCUUAGCUGAGAAAGACUAUAGAACGGGUGGCCAACACGUCGACCGCGGUCGACCGCAAAGGUUUUGAAAGUAGCCCGCGAAGCUAAAGUUGAACAACUUGC
Molecule: long non-coding RNA, 592 nt
Filed under: Androctonus crassicauda
Lineage: Eukaryota; Metazoa; Arthropoda; Arachnida; Scorpiones; Buthidae
Source: RNAcentral